AGAGUUUGAUCCUGGCUCAGAAUGAACGUUGGCGGCGUGGAUUAGGCAUGCAAGUCGAGCGAGAACCCGCAAGGGGGACAGCGGCAAACGGGGGUAGUAACGGGUAGGUGACGUACCCUCGGGGUUCGGGGGAUAGCCACGGGGAAACUGUGGGGUAAUACCCGAUAACCUCUUGGAAACGUGAUAUGUUUCGAAAGACACAAGGUGUGAUGUACUUCCACCUGGGGGGACGGGCCUGUCUCUCGCUAUUUAGACUAUAUUUGGGUGGUAGAGGUUACCCGGCCUCCCCCCAGGGCCAAACAAAUGCCUUAGGGGGGUUGUUGAAGAGCCUUGAACCCCCCACCCACUGGGAACUGAGAUACUGCCCAGACACCUACGGGUGGCUGCAGUCGAGAAUCUUCGGCAAUGGGCGCAAGCCUGACCGAGCGACGCCGCGUGU
This 439-nucleotide ribosomal RNA is filed under the name uncultured bacterium. RNAcentral's name for it is "partial 16S ribosomal RNA". It matches the Rfam family "Bacterial small subunit ribosomal RNA", at positions 8 to 404 of the family's 1533-position model. The record is from RNAcentral.